GCCGAGGUCGGGCCUGGGAAGGGUCAGCGGGAGGCCUGAGGGCGCCGGGCGCUGAGGCAGGCGGGCGCGGGGUCCAGCCGAGAGGGUCCCGGCGCCAGGCAACGCGAUUCGCGCGGGGGUGAAGCCGGGGAGGGGGUUGGCCUCUCGUUCUGGGACCUUUCGGCGCAUCAGAGCGCGACACCGCACGCGUCGGGGGCUUGGGAGUCUCGGGGCGCGAGCUGUGUUGGAAGCGAAGUCCUCCUUGUGGGUUGGGGUGGCGGAGGGAGAAGGGAAGCGGGGGUCGCGGCGGGACCAGACGCCCCAGUCCUGGCCCGCCCGCGGCUACUGAAGGCGCUGCCGCCUGACCUGAACGGGCACCUGUGUUCCAGCUCCCCUGGGACCUGGGGCCGCCGCCCACAGACCAUGCUCCUGGGGCGCCUGACUUCCCAGCUGUUGAGGGCCGUUCCCUGGGCAGCUUCCGAUGCUCACAGAGGGAACCUCAGGGGUUCAGGCCAGGAAUGAGGUGCGGGGGAUCCUCGCUGGGACGAACGUGCUGCUCCCCAACCCGACGGGCUUGUGUGGUCUCGCGAGCGGUGACCGUGGCGUCUGGUUUUCUGCAGGCGGCCGC
Molecule: small RNA, 607 nt
Filed under: Pongo abelii (Sumatran orangutan)
Lineage: Eukaryota; Metazoa; Chordata; Mammalia; Primates; Hominidae
Description: processed transcript
Source: RNAcentral